AAUUCUCAACCUCACCAGUUUUGUAACGAGACUGUGUAAGGCUUGGAUGUGGGGGUUUGUGCAGGGCUGCCUCAGUGCGGUCUGCUCCCCUGAAAUGCAUUAGCGAGUUCAAACUGAGCUCUGUCUAUUGGUGUGAUAAUUAUCUACGCCGUGGACUUUGCUUAGACUUGCUUCUAAUCGUCCUCACGGACAAUACCUUGACA
RNAcentral lists this unclassified non-coding RNA (203 nucleotides) under uncultured Psathyrella. RNAcentral describes it as "sequence contains ITS2". The record is from RNAcentral. Lineage: Eukaryota; Fungi; Basidiomycota; Agaricomycetes; Agaricales; Psathyrellaceae.